This is a long non-coding RNA of Numida meleagris (helmeted guineafowl), 1792 nucleotides long. RefSeq lists it as uncharacterized. The transcript is spliced from 6 exons. The record is from RefSeq and is a predicted model, not a curated record. NCBI's taxonomy places the organism in Eukaryota, Metazoa, Chordata, Aves, Galliformes, Numididae.
AAAGAGGGAACAGUUACAAUUGUUCAGGUGUUCCCCUGUUUAUGUGAGUUGUUGCAAUUAACUGUCUUCUAAGAAGACAUCCUCAGAGCUGUAACUUUUACUAACGUGAGAAUAUCUUUGUUAUUUAUUCCUGUCACUUCUGAGUGUCUCUUUGUCAAAGUUUAUCUUUGCAGCAUGGCUUUAUAGGUGGAAAACUAAGAAGCACGAAAAUCAUGAGUGAAGAGGUGAACCAACUUGCUCUGUGCCAUGCAUGGCAUAAAAAAGCAAGGAUGGGAACUGAUGCCUGACCUUUCAGGAUAGCACCGUGUAGGAGGACCUUCUGCAGGGUUCACUAACCAAUCACGUCUUACUGAUUCUACUCAAGCUGAAGCUCCUAAGAAGAAUGAUGGUCACCGAGUAAUGCUGACAGCAAGGAGGACUUUCCAGCACCCACUUGGCCAACUACAGCAAGUAAGGAACCUUGUGGCACGGUAAGAUCUAUGCUAUAGAGAGAAGAGAUCCCCCCUCCCUGAUCACUCUGACCAACUUUUAAAUACACUUUCUAAAAGAACACAAGCAAAAUUAUUGCUAUUGUGAUGCAGCAGUAAAAAAUGAAUACUUCUAAUUUCAUACAAUUUCACAAGGUUACUCUUUUUGUUAUGCUAACAGUUUUCAGCAGCACAGGAUUCAUCCCUUCAGAGGCAUGUUCAGCCAGAAAGUCUUCAUCCAUACCUGCGUUUGGAUUUCAAACCAAGGUCGAAGACAGAGACCCCCACUCUGGAUGCAGACUAGCCCAAAGCACUUGAUAGUAUUUUUCAACACUGUUUCUUCUCUAAAACUGCAGUGCCUUUUGAAAUAAGAGUGUAGUGAUUGUAUACCACCAACUCCACUUCUUUUACUUAAAUUAAUCUAAGUCCGUGUUUCAAUGAAUAAUUGUAUAAGUACAGUCUCUAUGUAUUAAGACGAUAUCUAGAUGCGGAGACCUUCCCAUUCCUGUGCUCUCAUUAAGACAGGAAUACAUACAAUAAGCAAGAAUACAUUUUGUCUGACUUAAUAAUUCUCAGGAUUCAAUGUGAAAUAUGAAGCAGACUCAGAAACCUCCUUGUAUUCCAAACUGGUUUCACUUUGGGCCCUGGAGAAUUCACUCAUUCAGCACCCACUGACUUACAGAACUGAGCAGCAGACUAAGCUUAAGACUGUACCUUCUAAGACAAGGAGAAGCGUUUUUGCUCCAGCAGAAAGUUCCAUUUCUUACGAUGAUACCUGCCUGUACUAAAAUAUGAGGAGAAACAGAACAUUUGCAAAUUCAAAGGAACUGGAUUAGUGCUGAGAGAAAUCCAGAAGCACGCUUGGAGGUUCAAGUCAUUUGCUUCUCACCUGCUCUUGGAUUUAUUAAGGAGGACAUCUUGUGGCUGAUAGAACCACCAGUAUGUGAUUUUGGACAGAAAAGAGCUGCUGGCUUCUGGACAUUGAUUCUGAUGGGAGGAAAAACAUGGAUGAUAUUUAUAUGGAGAAAAGGGAAUGUGUCAUAUGAUGUCCCUUCUGCACUUUUCCAAGAAAAAGAAUCAAAAGGCUACCUAGCCCCCACUCCUUGCUUCUGACAGUAAUUGUUGACAGCUUUAGAGAAGAAGGGAGGUUGAUCGACUAAGCAGAAUAACACAAGUUCACCAAGCACCAGGCUAGCAUAAAGGGCACGCUGGAUUUUGGAACUAAACAUCACAACUGCAGACAAGAAUGUGAGCAGCCAGUAAAUCAGCAUGAUGCCUGAAGACUGGAUGCCCAUUUUUCUUUCCGCUUGGGUAAGAAACAUGGC